This is a non-coding RNA of Acanthosepion pharaonis, 98 nucleotides long. The record is from the annotation of a GenBank genome assembly. NCBI's taxonomy places the organism in Eukaryota, Metazoa, Mollusca, Cephalopoda, Sepiida, Sepiidae.
CCAAAUCACCAGUUCCCGUAUGAUCACCGAAAUUAAACAAUGUCGAGCUUGCUCAGUGCCGGAAUGGGUGACCACGUGGGAAUAUCAGGUGCUGUAAG